This is a non-coding RNA of Oryza glumipatula, 170 nucleotides long. The record is from Rfam. NCBI's taxonomy places the organism in Eukaryota, Viridiplantae, Streptophyta, Magnoliopsida, Poales, Poaceae.
UUGAAGCGCAACCAUGAGUUUUCGUGUCCAACUUUGAUCGUCCGUCUUAUUUGAAUUUUUUUUAUAAAUAGUAUUUUAUGCAUGACUUAUGUUUUUUUAAUUUUCUUAAAAAAAUUUUAAAUAAGACAGAUGAUUAAAGUUGAACAUGGAAACUCGUGAUAGCGCUUAAA